GCAAAAGUCAGGACUAGACAUACUAUCCAUCGAUUCAGUCCUUACCUUACGCCCUCACUGAUUUCCUGCCGUGAGGGC
RNAcentral lists this non-coding RNA (78 nucleotides) under Escherichia coli. RNAcentral describes it as "sR084". It matches the Rfam family "sR084 sRNA". From Rfam's summary of the family: Temperature-dependent expression pattern. The record is from RNAcentral. Lineage: Bacteria; Pseudomonadati; Pseudomonadota; Gammaproteobacteria; Enterobacterales; Enterobacteriaceae. RNAcentral also lists the same sequence under 1 other name.